This 930-nucleotide ribosomal RNA is filed under the name Trichomonas vaginalis G3. RNAcentral's name for it is "16S ribosomal RNA". It matches the Rfam family "Eukaryotic small subunit ribosomal RNA", at positions 258 to 1326 of the family's 1831-position model. The record is from RNAcentral. Lineage: Eukaryota; Parabasalia; Trichomonadida; Trichomonadidae.
GGAAAAGUUGACCUCAUCAGAGGCACGCCAUUCGACUGAGUGACCUAUCAGCUUGUACUUAGGGUCUUUACCUAGGUAGGCUAUCACGGGUAACGGGCGGUUACCGUCGGACUGCCGGAGAAGGCGCCUGAGAGAUAGCGACUAUAUCCACGGGUAGCAGCAGGCGCGAAACUUUCCCACUCGAGACUUUCGGAGGAGGUAAUGACCAGUUCCAUUGGUGCCUUUUGGUACUGUGGAUAGGGGUACGGUUUUCCACCGUACCGAAACCUAGCAGAGGGCCAGUCUGGUGCCAGCAGCUGCGGUAAUUCCAGCUCUGCGAGUUUGCUCCCAUAUUGUUGCAGUUAAAACGCCCGUAGUCUGAAUUGGCCAGCAAUGGUCGUACGUAUUUUUACGUUCACUGUGAACAAAUCAGGACGCUUAGAGUAUGGCCACAUGAAUGACUCAGCGCAGUAUGAAGUCUUUGUUUUCUUCCGAAAACAAGCUCAAUGAGAGCCAUCGGGGGUAGAUCUAUCUCAUGACGAGUGGUGGAAUACUUUGACUCAUGAGAGAGAAGCUGAGGCGAAGGCGUCUACCUAGAGGGUUUCUGUCGAUCAAGGGCGAGAGUAGGAGUAUCCAACAGGAUUAGAGACCCUGGUAGUUCCUACCUUAAACGAUGCCGACAGGAGUUUGUCAUUUGUUAAUGGCAGAAUCUUUGGAGAAAUCAUAGUUCUUGGGCUCUGGGGGAACUACGACCGCAAGGCUGAAACUUGAAGGAAUUGACGGAAGGGCACACCAGGGGUGGAGCCUGUGGCUUAAUUUGAAUCAACACGGGGAAACUUACCAGGACCAGAUGUUUUUUAUGACUGACAGGCUUCGGGUCUUUCAGGAUAUUGUUUUUGGUGGUGCAUGGCCGUUGGUGGUGCGUGGGUUGACCUGUCUAGCGUUGAUUCA